Molecule: non-coding RNA, 794 nt
Filed under: Pongo abelii (Sumatran orangutan)
Lineage: Eukaryota; Metazoa; Chordata; Mammalia; Primates; Hominidae
Source: RNAcentral
UUCUGCUGCGUAUCUGAUAAUCUUGAGAGUUUCGCUCUUGUUGCCCAGGCUGGAGUGCAAUGGCACGAUCUUGGCUCACCACAACCUCCACCUCCCAGGCUCAAGCGAUUCUCCUUGCCUCCGCCUCCCUAAUAGCUGGGAUUACACUAUUCAAUCCAGGUUUAAGUCCUUCAGCAUCUGACAUUCUCCUGGCAACUGUAAUUCAAUCAAUGAUGACUCAUCUGAGAUGAGCAAGUUGGUCCAGUCAGACCAAACAAAAGACACUCUAUAAUCAGGGGAGAAGUCUUCUCUAUAUCUUUCUUAUAUGAGCAAAUUUAAUGACCUCCACCAUGUCUAAGAACAAGCAGCUAUUUCUGUAGAGAAAGAUCACCUUUGGAUAACAAUACAUGAUUUUAGGCUCUAAAAGUUAAAACGUGUUUGUAACGUUGAUAUUAUGCAGAGGUCUUGACAGAACUUAGCAGUCUCUGAGGCUACAGAGAAGUGUGAAAAAGAGCAUAGAGAUUUCAGAAGGAGGCAGAUUCAGUCAGACAUACUGAAUCCUGUUUGAUCUCAAUUCAGGCACACUCCAGAUGGAUGUAUUGAACAGCACACUGGAGUUUUUGUCCAGAAGUUUGACUUUAGAAGAUAAGAAAUAACUGAGCGUAUUACAAGCAGGAGUUAGAGGAAGAGACUCAGUACAGAAGAGACAGGAACAAAAGUUCACCUCCAUUAGAUGGGAAAGGAUACAGAUCAAGAGCUCAGGAAAAGUAGGAGAAAGAAGCUCUAUUCCAGAAGCAGUGUGGAGCACAAAGAAU